Molecule: ribosomal RNA, 776 nt
Filed under: uncultured Neocallimastigales
Lineage: Eukaryota; Fungi; Neocallimastigomycota; Neocallimastigomycetes; Neocallimastigales
Description: partial large subunit ribosomal RNA
Rfam family: Eukaryotic large subunit ribosomal RNA
Source: RNAcentral
UAUCUCUGUAGAGUCUGCAUAUCAAUAAGCGGAGGAAAAGAAACUAACUAGGAUUCCCUCAGUAACGGCGAGUGAAGCGGGAAGAGCUCAAAUUUGAAAUCUUCAAGGUUGCUACCUUGACGAAUUGUAGUUUAAAGAAGUGUUUUCUGUUGAAGUUUCGGUAAAAGUUCUUUGGAAUAGGACAUCAUAGAGGGUGAGAAUCCCGUAUUUGACCAGUUAUUUCAGCUGUGUGAUACACUUUCAAAGAGUCGGAUUGUUUGGGAAUGCAGUCCAAAAUGGGUGGUAAAUUUCAUCUAAAGCUAAAUACUGGCGAGAGACCGAUAGCGAACAAGUACCGUGAGGGAAAGAUGAAAAGAACUUUGAAAGGAGAGUUAAACAGUACGUGAAAUUGUCAAAAGGGAAGCGUUUGACACCAGUGUUGUUUUUCUGAAAAUCAAUUAAAGAACUGUUUAUGCUAAGCUGUUUAGACUUUAUCAGCUAUCUGUUUAGUUUUGAGCUUUUCUUUAAUGCACUUUUCAGUUAAUAAGUCAACAGUCAAUUUCUUUUGCUGUAAAAAAGCUUGAGGAGGGUGGCUUGAGAUUCGUCUUAAGUGUUUAUAGCCUCUUGCCUAUGCAGUCGGAGAGAUUGAGGUCUGCAGCGUAGAUCCUUCGGGGCUAAAUGCAUUUGUGCUAAGUUAUAGCAUUUUAUAGACAACUUGUUGACUAUGAUUUGUCUUGUAGCUUACUCGCUUAUGUUAUUUUACCUACGCUUAGGAUGUUGAUAUGCAUGACUGAUAU